Molecule: ribosomal RNA, 497 nt
Filed under: uncultured bacterium
Lineage: Bacteria
Description: partial 16S ribosomal RNA
Rfam family: Bacterial small subunit ribosomal RNA
Source: RNAcentral
GAUGAACGCUGGCGGCGUGCCUAAUACAUGCAAGUCGAGCGAACGGACGAGAAGCUUGCUUCUCUGAUGUUAGCGGCGGACGGGUGAGUAACACGUGGAUCACCUACCUAUAAGACUGGGAUAACUUCGGGAAACCGGAGCUAAUACCGGAUAAUAUUUUGAACCGCAUGGUUCAAAAGUGAAAGACGGUCUUGCUGUCACUUAUAGAUGGAUCCGCGCUGCAUUAGCUAGUUGGUAAGGUAACGGCUUACCAAGGCAACGAUGCAUAGCCGACCUGAGAGGGUGAUCAGCCACACUGGAACUGAGACACGGUCCAGACUCCUACGGGAGGCAGCAGUAGGGAAUCUACCGCAAUGGGCGAAAGCCUGACGGAGCAACGCCGCGUGAGUGAUGAAGGUCUUCGGAUCGUAAAACUCUGUUAUUAGGGAAGAACAUAUGUGUAAGUAACUGUGCACAUCUUGACGGUACCAAAUCAGAAAGCCACGGCUAACUACGUG